RNAcentral lists this long non-coding RNA (112 nucleotides) under Struthio camelus australis. RNAcentral's name for it is "lncRNA (ENSSCUG00000013553.1)". Lineage: Eukaryota; Metazoa; Chordata; Aves; Struthioniformes; Struthionidae. The record is from RNAcentral.
AAUGAGACCAGCACUGAUCAACUGCUAGCAGGCAUAUGCUACUCUAAUGCCCCACUGCUGCAAACUGUUGCAAGUUUAAGUUCUUCAUUUGACUGCUUGGCCUAGGUGAGAU